UGCGGGGUGGAGCAGUCUGGUAGCUCGUUGGGCUCAUAACCCAAAGGUCGGAGGUUCAAAUCCUUCCCCCGCAACCA
Molecule: transfer RNA, 77 nt
Filed under: Acidobacteriota bacterium
Lineage: Bacteria; Pseudomonadati; Acidobacteriota
Also listed under: 1 other name
Description: tRNA-Met
Rfam family: tRNA
About the family: Transfer RNA (tRNA) molecules are approximately 80 nucleotides in length. Their secondary structure includes four short double-helical elements and three loops (D, anti-codon, and T loops). Further hydrogen bonds mediate the characteristic L-shaped molecular structure. tRNAs have two regions of fundamental functional importance: the anti-codon, which is responsible for specific mRNA codon recognition, and the 3' end, to which the tRNAs corresponding amino acid is attached (by aminoacyl-tRNA synthetases). tRNAs cope with the degeneracy of the genetic code in two manners: having more than one tRNA (with a specific anti-codon) for a particular amino acid; and 'wobble' base-pairing, i.e. permitting non-standard base-pairing at the 3rd anti-codon position.
Source: RNAcentral